AUUGAACGCUGGCGGCAGGCCUAACACAUGCAAGUCGAACGGUAACAGGAAGAAGCUUGCUUCUUUGCUGACGAGUGGCGGAUGGGUGAGUAAUGUCUGGGAAACUGCCUGAUGGAGGGGGAUAACUACUGGAAACGGUAGCUAAUACCGCAUAACGUCGCAAGACCAAAGAGGGGGACCUUCGGGCCUCUUGCCAUCGGAUGUGCCCAGAUGGGAUUAGCUAGUAGGUGGGGUAACGGCUCACCUAGGCGACGAUCCCUAGCUGGUCUGAGAGGAUGACCAGCCACACUGGAACUGAGACACGGUCCAGACUCCUACGGGAGGCAGCAGUGUGGAAUAUUGCACAAUGGGCGCAAGCCUGAUGCAGCCAUGCCGCGUGUAUGAAGAAGGCCUUCGGGUUGUAAAGUACUUUCAGCGGGGAGGAAGGGAGUAAAGUUAAUACCUUUGCUCAUUGACGUUACCCGCAGAAGAAGCACCGGCUAACUCCGUG
RNAcentral lists this ribosomal RNA (490 nucleotides) under uncultured bacterium. RNAcentral describes it as "partial 16S ribosomal RNA". It matches the Rfam family "Bacterial small subunit ribosomal RNA", at positions 30 to 507 of the family's 1533-position model. The record is from RNAcentral.